GAUAGCCUCAGUCCACCUGUGUGCGAGGCUAAGGAGCACAUGUAUUAUUGAGCUCUCCCCGUAAUUGACUCUGUGUGCCAGAGAGGGAGAAGCGGUCGCCUUUUGAUCCACUGAUUAUUUCUCCUUAUUACAGUAAAGGAAAGUGCUAAAUCUCAUCGAAGAGUGGUCGUGUGGUCUCUGUGUGUGUGGGGUGACCGGUCCAGACAUGCU
Cyprinus carpio (common carp) is the source of this 210-nucleotide long non-coding RNA. RefSeq lists it as uncharacterized. The transcript is spliced from 3 exons. The record is from RefSeq and is a predicted model, not a curated record. NCBI's taxonomy places the organism in Eukaryota, Metazoa, Chordata, Actinopteri, Cypriniformes, Cyprinidae.